Molecule: long non-coding RNA, 1880 nt
Filed under: Volvox carteri
Lineage: Eukaryota; Viridiplantae; Chlorophyta; Chlorophyceae; Chlamydomonadales; Volvocaceae
Description: long non-coding RNA (VCAR_LNC002641)
Source: RNAcentral
CGAGUUACCUUGGCCGCUGGGCGGCUGUUCUGAGCGAGGAACUCCUCCUGCAGCGGCAGCAGCAGCGGUAGCAGUAGCAGCAGUAGCACCAGCGGUAGCAGUGGCAGCAGGGGAGCAGCAAGCGGAUCUCCGGCAAUAGCGAAAUACCCUAAGAAGAUAUCAGCGCCGCAACCACCAGGGCCCCACACAGGCGCCGCAGCAGCAGCAGCCGCAACGGAACGCACAGCAGCAGCAGUCGCAGCAACAUAUAGCUCCCGGGGUGAGGUGCACCGGAAGGGGAAAUGCAAACAUGGACUGAGCAGCAGUACAGCAGUAGGAAUAGCAGUAGCAGCGGCAGCAGUGGCAGCAGCAGUAGCAGCAGCAGUAGUAGCAGAGGAGGUGGGAGCAACAGGAGAACUAGCAAUGGCAAAAAGGCGUGUACGAUUGAGAUACGGCAAUACGGCAAACCUGCAUCAUGAGCAGCUCCUCGUCCUCAGUCCACCCCGCCAGGUCCUCCUCGCCGCGGAUACUGCCGCCGCCGCCGCCGCCGCCGCCGCCGCGGAUACUGCCGCCGCCGCCGCCGCCGCCGCCGCCGCGACGGCAGCCGCUUUCUGGGAGCCCCUCCUGGCCACCUGGAGCCGCCGCCGCCACACGACCUGCAUGUAGACCUGUAACCGUAGAGAUAAGGACAUACAUACAUAUUUGCUAACUUGCCCCAUUCUUUUUUCAUCACGUCUUGCUUAAUCCUUUCAUACAGUACGAUACCAAUAGACUUUAAUUAAAUGUCGUACGGGUCCGGAAUUUUAAAGUUCUCUAGCCAAGGGCUCCGGUGCGUGGUGCUUGGAUUCGAGGAUUCACAUGUAGAGAGGUGUCACGCAGCGAACACUCAGGAAACGGGUUUUCACGUACUGCCUUGUCUGUACGACAUCACUGCCUUUAUUACCAUGUGCAGUUGUGCAUUUUACGUGAAAUUUUCUUUCAUGUGUCAAGAAUUCUCAGAUUGCAUGCGCGGCUCGGAAUACCUGAUUGUGUUGCGGCUGUUCGUUGCAUAGCUGCAGCGCCAAGGGUCGUCCUCGCUUGCUUUAUGGGAGCUCCGGAACCGUUCCGGUGCGCAAGGCGGGUAACGUUGGCGGCGGGGCGCCGCUGGUGCGCGAGGAAUUCCUCCUACACUUUGUAAAUAAUCGGCAAUUGUCAACGUGCUUGAGGUUUUGCUUGGUUAGGCUGUAACCGGCAUGUAACUGAUUCCGGUCGUCGAUCGAGUUCGCUUGCCUGCAAAGCCAACAGCUCUUCCUCGGAGCUUGCGGCCAGUUCCCGCCCACGAGGAUUUUCUGUUUCCCCCUCCAUAAUGAAGCCAAUAAUAUCGGAUUACAGCAAGGAACUGCGUCGGCUGGGACGUAACGAUGUGGCUAAGGUCCUCAUGGACUGAAAGAUGACAUUCCUGACUGUGCUGUUUAAAACUAGACGCGUAUUGAAAUGAUAUGAAGCGGAGGGGCUGACCGAUAUGGCAAUGCUCGUCCAGUUGUCGUUCUGUUUUCCACCUGUUUUCCGUCUAUUGCACAUGAUAAGCCAUGCAAUGCAGUUUGACAUUUACACUGCUGUUUUCUUAGUCACACUCAAGCGCGAGUGAGCGAAAAAGUCGCUUGCUAAGCGACCCUCCUACACCUGUAACGACUAUGCAAGCAUUGCAGCGGUCGGUGCCGAGCGCGCGUGCAGGUGCUCGCGCUGUGCGUCCUGCGCGUAAGAUGGUGACUUGCACAGCUGCAUCUCGCCCAAGUAAGUCUAGCAGAAUGGGUCAUGCGUUCGCGGUCGGGCUUGCAUGCAGAGGCUCACGAGCCGCGGUUUCAUAUGCAGUCCCCCGAGCCACCAACGAACAGAAGCUUGACUUGCUAAAGAAAGUGGAA